GCUACUUUAUAGAUAGGAAGUACACAGACAAUGUUAGUUUGUUGCAAGUGUAAAAUGAUUAGUAGGACAGGAAUUAUGCAUAAUAGAGAUCAAGCUGUAUCGGUGAAAAAAUCUCCUAAUACUAUCCUUACCUUUUGUGUCACCCCUUUCCCUCUAUAAUGUAAGCUCAUUGAGCAGGGCCCUCAACCCCUCUGUUCCUGUGUGUCCAUUUGUCUGGCUACAACUACAUGUUUGUUUGUCCACCCAUUGUACAACGCUACAGAAUUUGUUGGUGCUAUGUAAAAAAUAACAUAAUAAUAAUAAUAAUCAGAAUAGUGAUUUCCAUUUUUUGAUGGAACUUUAGUCUCAAGUUUUCAUAUAUCGUGAUGUGUGAUUAUCUGUAACGCUAUAAGACCAUGACUAUCCAAUAACUAUAAAAAAAUAUGGUGGGCUGGCAUUUUUUAUGAGAAACGCACAACCAUAAUUUUAUUUUAGUGCUAUAUAAUUCUUUUUUUAAAAUUGUAAUACGUUCAAAAGAUUGUCAAUAAAUAUCAAAAUAAAUAUUGAACACAUGUGUCUAUAAUUAAGGAUUAGCCGUUAAGCAAAGAAGACUGUGAGCAAAUACAGCUUUCGAUUUGUUGCUGAAAUAUGUCAACUUCACCCUUGUCUUUUGUGUCUCUAUGUGUUUGAAUAUUAAAAUGCAGUUCAAAAAUAGCCACCGAAACACUGAAAACUCAUACAUCUUCAAGUGUUAAACUUGUUAUAGCCGUGGUUCAUGCAUAUAACAUGGAUACAUUUGCAGCACUAUUUUAAACUGAUUCAAAGAGAGAACAUUUCAGGUGACAGUGGCUUUUAAGAAAAUAUAUUACUUUUUUGUUUGUAUUACUUGUUUUUUUUUUCCUAGUCCGUAGAGUGAAUAUAUGUGAAUAUAGUUUAUUAUGCUAUAGUCAUUGGACAAAUGUUUCUGUUUCCAAUCAACAAAUAAAAUGCAUGUUACAUUUCUGGCAUGGGAAUAAUUUUAAUUCAACUUCAAAUGAAUUAUUCCAGUGCAUAUUGAAUUGGAUAUAGUCAUGUGAAAAUGCAUGUGCAGUAGAGUCUUUCUUUAUUCCUCUGCAUUUUUUUUUUACU
Molecule: non-coding RNA, 1107 nt
Organism: Pelobates cultripes (western spadefoot toad)
Lineage: Eukaryota; Metazoa; Chordata; Amphibia; Anura; Pelobatidae
Source: the annotation of a GenBank genome assembly